AUGAACCGUUAUAACCGGCGAUUUCCGAAUGGGGAAACCCAGUGUGUUUCGACACACUAUCAUUAACUGAAUCCAUAGGUUAAUGAGGCGAACCGGGGGAACUGAAACAUCUAAGUACCCCGAGGAAAAGAAAUCAACCGAGAUUCCCCCAGUAGCGGCGAGCGAACGGGGAGCAGCCCAGAGCCUGAAUCAGUGUGUGUGUUAGUGGAAGCGUCUGGAAAGGCGCGCGAUACAGGGUGACAGCCCCGUACACAAAAAUGCACAUGCUGUGAGCUCGAUGAGUAGGGCGGGACACGUGGUAUCCUGUCUGAAUAUGGGGGGACCAUCCUCCAAGGCUAAAUACUCCUGACUGACCGAUAGUGAACCAGUACCGUGAGGGAAAGGCGAAAAGAACCCCGGCGAGGGGAGUGAAAAAGAACCUGAAACCGUGUACGUACAAGCAGUGGGAGCACGCUUAGGCGUGUGACUGCGUACCUUUUGUAUAAUGGGUCAGCGACUUAUAUUCUGUAGCAAGGUUAACCGAAUAGGGGAGCCGAAGGGAAACCGAGUCUUAACUGGGCGUUAAGUUGCAGGGUAUAGACCCGAAACCCGGUGAUCUAGCCAUGGGCAGGUUGAAGGUUGGGUAACACUAACUGGAGGACCGAACCGACUAAUGUUGAAAAAUUAGCGGAUGACUUGUGGCUGGGGGUGAAAGGCCAAUCAAACCGGGAGAUAGCUGGUUCUCCCCGAAAGCUAUUUAGGUAGCGCCUCGUGAAUUCAUCUCCGGGGGUAGAGCACUGUUUCGGCAAGGGGGUCAUCCCGACUUACCAACCCGAUGCAAACUGCGAAUACCGGAGAAUGUUAUCACGGGAGACACACGGCGGGUGCUAACGUCCGUCGUGAAGAGGGA
This 889-nucleotide ribosomal RNA is filed under the name Escherichia coli IS25. RNAcentral's name for it is "LSU rRNA". It matches the Rfam family "Bacterial large subunit ribosomal RNA", at positions 90 to 1020 of the family's 2925-position model. The record is from RNAcentral. Lineage: Bacteria; Pseudomonadati; Pseudomonadota; Gammaproteobacteria; Enterobacterales; Enterobacteriaceae.